Capsicum annuum is the source of this 2606-nucleotide long non-coding RNA. RefSeq lists it as uncharacterized. The transcript is spliced from 2 exons. The record is from RefSeq and is a predicted model, not a curated record. NCBI's taxonomy places the organism in Eukaryota, Viridiplantae, Streptophyta, Magnoliopsida, Solanales, Solanaceae.
UAAUUAUUCAAGUUUUUUUUCAUCGACUCUUUUUUUUUCAAAUGCAAUUACAUUGUAUAGUGGCGUCUCCCUUUAUAUCAGAGAAGAAAAAUAAUAAGUUAAAUUAAAUUCUUACAAUGCUUCAUUUAGCUAAUGCAUCCGCCGGUUGAUUCAAUUCUCUAUAACAAUUUUGAAAAGUACAAUUUUUCGAUCAAAUCAACUCCAAUGUAUCCUUUAUCGUGUUUUGCAUGAAUUCACGACCAUAGAUAAAUCACAUUUUAGAAAAAUAUGAUUCAAACCUUGUUAUUGCAUCACUUUAGGUCGAAAUGAGCAACUUUUGCUUCUGUCGCAUCUUUAUUCAAAUUUACGAUCUCUAAGAAAAGCAAGUGAAUAUAAUCAAAACACGAAGAACAUAAUAAAUGCAAGACAAACUUUAAUAUCAUAAAGUAGAUAGUAAUUCCAACGGCUCAAUUAAUCCUACAAAAAAAAUAUUCUUAUGGGAGACCUAUACCCCAAAUGAAAUUGAUUUUGGACCUGGAAUAGGCUAAUACAAAAUUCACAAAAAAAUCUGAAAACUACCUAAUAAAGGUAACGACACAAGAUAUAUAAAACAAAAUUGGUCAAGGACUUCAAUAAUUUUAUACACAUUUGGAUUAUUUAUUUUGACUACAAGCUAGUUAUUUACUUAUUUAUACAUUUAUUUCUAAAUAAAACAAAACAAAACAAAAUAAUUAUUAUUAUAAACUUUGACUUCAUGAAUCUAUCUUAACUUAUUUAGUUUAUCGAGUCCUCAAUAAUUAUUUAUACCUAAAGAAACUUUUUAACGUAUAAAAUGUUUAAGUCAAGCUAUUUGAUUCAGGUAGAUUUAUAACUAAUACUCUACAUCCAUUCCUCGCUGCAAUAGUUUCGAGAAAGGACAAUUUGAUUAGUUUUUUUUUUUCUAGUGAAUUUGAUUAGUCUUUGAUGUUAUCAUAUAUAGUCUAUCUUAGCUUGUCUUAACUCAUCUAUCUCUCAAUCGUUAGCAUCCCUUCCCAACAACAGCCACCACCAAAAGUUAAAGUCUAUUGACAUUAAUUUGUUGUAGUUUGAACUCCACGUAGUUCCAAUCAUAUAUGGGUUUGUGGUUAAUUAAUUAUUCAAGAUUCUUUUUCGUCGAUCUCUUUUUUUUUUUUCAAAUACAAUUACGUUGUGUGAUGGAGUCUCCCUUUAUAUCAGAAAAGGAAAACAAAUAAAUUAAACAAUGAAGUAGGCUACAAAGACCAUGCGUCGGCAAAAGUUUCUUGUUCAAGGACUUUUUUUUUUUUUAAAAUUAAACCGAGAUAAAAUCCAUUUGAUAAAAUAAAAAGAUCAAUUUUACAUCCAACAAGCAAGGCCCAAAAGUGGCCUGACCCAAAUCCAAAAACAAUAAUAAGGGACAACAAAAGUCAUUGGGUCAAAUUAUUAAAUUAAAUAUCUCCGCAGCUACCUCUUUGUUGGGACUUUGAAUUAAAAAAAAACAAAUAAAUUGUCCAGUGAAAGUCCUUCAAAUUUUUUAAAUUAAAUAGAAGGACUAAUUUUCUUUUUGAGUUUUCUUAAAUUUUUUCUUUUGUUUGAACAACUUGUCUUAGUUGUUAAAUAAUUAAAUGUAGUUAUUCAAUCAUUUUAUAGAGUUAUUCAAUAACUAUCAAAAUUAUUAAAAUAACUGCGCAGAAUUGUUAUGCCAAUUGGUUAAGAGAGUUAGUUUUUCAAAAGCUAUAAGUUUGUGUGACCCACUUCUCGUUUUUUCAAUUGGAAACUUGGAAGCCUUGUGGCUCAUUUUUCUCUCUUUGUUGUCUCCUCGUCUUCUCGACUGCCUGGAAGGUUCCGACUGCUCCAUGUCUGCCGCAAAUGGCUCUCAGUUUAUCUUCGUCGUUCCUUAGUUAAGUGUCUAACCUUUGUGUUACUUUCGUCCCAGCCCUAGCUCGGUGGGUAGAACUUCCAUGGAAGCUAAUACCAUCACCUAAGUUAGAAAGUAGGCUCGAGUAAGCUAAGUUCCGGAGACUUUGCCAGUGCUCUAGCUUAUUCCUAAUCAUAUCUAGAGAUUCCUAUUUAGAUCUAACAUACCUGUUGUUUGAAUACUCAAACCAUCGACAUCCCAAAAUCUCACUGGAUACAAGUUUUGUAUUCAAGGGAAAUCAUUUCCAACAACAGGUACCAGCAUUUCCAUAUAAAUCCCUGAUAUAUUUAAUGUAUAACCUACUUACACUUCUUUAUAUUUUGAAUCUGAGGCUAACCGACACCUGAAUUUCACAUUACUUCAAGAUGGAGUAAAUUCAAGUUGGGAUUAGCUGGAUGCUCUAGGUGAGCUGAUGAUUGUUUUCUUCGCGUCAGUUAGAUGUUGCUGCAUAUCGUGGAUCAAAGGAUCCCUCACUGCUGCUAGACUGUUAUUAGAUAUAUUAUGCCUUAUUUCUACCUUAUCCCUCUGAUCAUGUAUUAAUUUCUUUUUCUUUUGUUGUGUAGAUUCAUUCUAGCUAUUUACUAUCACAAUGCUCUCUUCCCCCUAGUAAUGAACUGGUAACCCAGUCCUUAGUGGAUGUCUCCCUAUCCCUCUUUCCCUGUUCAUUAACAAGAUGAGAAUUAUUAGUUGUAAUAAUAUUAUUAUGUUCAUA